RNAcentral lists this transfer RNA (83 nucleotides) under Candidatus Mesenet longicola. RNAcentral's name for it is "tRNA-Leu". It matches the Rfam family "tRNA". From Rfam's summary of the family: Transfer RNA (tRNA) molecules are approximately 80 nucleotides in length. Their secondary structure includes four short double-helical elements and three loops (D, anti-codon, and T loops). Further hydrogen bonds mediate the characteristic L-shaped molecular structure. tRNAs have two regions of fundamental functional importance: the anti-codon, which is responsible for specific mRNA codon recognition, and the 3' end, to which the tRNAs corresponding amino acid is attached (by aminoacyl-tRNA synthetases). tRNAs cope with the degeneracy of the genetic code in two manners: having more than one tRNA (with a specific anti-codon) for a particular amino acid; and 'wobble' base-pairing, i.e. permitting non-standard base-pairing at the 3rd anti-codon position. The record is from RNAcentral. Lineage: Bacteria; Pseudomonadati; Pseudomonadota; Alphaproteobacteria; Rickettsiales; Anaplasmataceae.
GCGGAUAUGGCGGAAUUGGUAGACGCGCUAGGUUUAGGUCCUAGUAAGGAAACUUGUGGGGGUUCAAGUCCCUCUAUCCGUAC